RNAcentral lists this ribosomal RNA (438 nucleotides) under Legionella sp. RNAcentral describes it as "bacterial SSU rRNA". It matches the Rfam family "Bacterial small subunit ribosomal RNA", at positions 394 to 826 of the family's 1533-position model. The record is from RNAcentral. Lineage: Bacteria; Pseudomonadati; Pseudomonadota; Gammaproteobacteria; Legionellales; Legionellaceae.
ANGCCGCGUGUGUGAGAAGGCCUGAGGGUUGAAAGCACUUUCAGUGGGGAGGAGGAUAGCAUGGUUAAGAGCUGAGCUAUUGGACGUUACCUACAGAAGAAGCACCGGCUAACUCCGUGCCAGCAGCCGCGGUAAUACGGAGGGUGCGAGCGUUAAUCGGAAUUACUGGGCGUAAAGGGUGCGUAGGUGGUUAAAUAAGUUAGAUGUAAAAACCCUGGGCUUAACCUAGGACUGAGAUUUAAUACUGUUUAACUAGAGUAUGGGAGAGGGUAGUGGAAUUUCCGGUGUAGCGGUGAAAUGCGUAGAGAUCGGAAGGAACACCAGUGGCGAAGGCGGCUACCUGGCCUAAUACUGACACUGAGGCACGAAAGCGUGGGGAGCAAACAGGAUUAGAUACCCUGGUAGUCCACGCUGUAAACGAUGUCAACUAGCCGUUGG